GUGCAGCAGUCGCGAAAACUCCGCAAUACGCGCAAGCGUGACUGGGCCAUCCCGAGUGCCGUCCGCUGAGGAUGGCUUUUCCCUAGUGUAGAUAGCUGGGGGAAUAAGGGGAGGGCAAGUCUGGUGUCAGCCGCCGCGGUAAUACCAGCUCUUCGAGUGGUAGGGAUGUUUAUUGGGCCUGAAGCAUCCGUAGCUGGCUGUGCGAGUCCUCCGUUAAAUCCAGCGAUUUAAUCGUUGGAUUGCGGGGGAUACUGUGCGGCUAGUGGAUGGGAGAAGCCAACGGUAUUCCCGGGGUAGGGGUGAAAUCCUAUGAUCCCGGGAGGACCACCAGUGGCGAAGGCUGUUGGCUAGAACACGCCCGACGGUGAGGGAUGAAAGCUGGGGGAGCGAACCGGAUUAGAUACCCGGGUAGUCC
This 415-nucleotide ribosomal RNA is filed under the name uncultured crenarchaeote. RNAcentral describes it as "partial 16S ribosomal RNA". It matches the Rfam family "Archaeal small subunit ribosomal RNA", at positions 330 to 747 of the family's 1478-position model. The record is from RNAcentral. Lineage: Archaea; Thermoproteati; Thermoproteota.